GAUGAACGCUGGCGGCGUGCCUAAUACAUGCAAGUCGAGCGAACGGACGAGAAGCUUGCUUCUCUGAUGUUAGCGGCGGACGGGUGAGUAACACGUGGAUAACCUACCUAUAAGACUGGGAUAACUUCGGGAAACCGGAGCUAAUACCGGAUGAUAUUUUGAACCGCAUGGUUCAAAAGUGAAAGACGGUCUUGCUGUCACUUAUAGAUAGAUCCGCGCUGCAUUAGCUAGUUGGUAAGGUAACGGCUUACCAAGGCAACGAUGCAUAGCCGACCUGAGAGGGUGAUCGGCCACACUGGAACUGAGACACGGUCCAGACUCCUACGGGAGGCAGCAGUAGGGAAUCUUCCGCAAUGGGCGAAAGCCUGACGGAGCAACGCCGCGUGAGUGAUGAAGGUCUUCGGAUCGUAAAACUCUGUUAUUAGGGAAGAACAUAUGUGUAAGUAACUGUGCACAGCUUGACGGUACCUAAUCAGAAAGCCACGGCUAACUACGUG
RNAcentral lists this ribosomal RNA (497 nucleotides) under uncultured bacterium. Its description in RNAcentral is "partial 16S ribosomal RNA". It matches the Rfam family "Bacterial small subunit ribosomal RNA", at positions 28 to 507 of the family's 1533-position model. The record is from RNAcentral.